RNAcentral lists this ribosomal RNA (403 nucleotides) under uncultured bacterium. Its description in RNAcentral is "partial 16S ribosomal RNA". It matches the Rfam family "Bacterial small subunit ribosomal RNA", at positions 28 to 526 of the family's 1533-position model. The record is from RNAcentral.
GACGAACGCUGGCGGCGUGCCUAAUACAUGCAAGUCGAACGCAGUGGGGACGGGUGAGUAACACGUGGGUAACCUCCCAUCAGAGGGGAUAACACUUGGAAACAGGUGCUAAACCGAUACUGAUGGAUGGACCCGCGGUGCAUUAGCUAGUUGGUGAGGUAACGGCUCACCUAGGCCACGAUGCAUAGCCGACCUGGAAGGGUGAUCGGCCAGACGGGGACUGAGAAAGGGCCCAGACUCCUACGGGAGGCGGCAGUAGGGAAUCUUCGGCAAUGGACGAAGGUCGGACCGAGCAACGCCGCGUGAAGGAAGAGGGUUUUCGGAUCGUGAAACGCUGUUGUUAGGGAAGCGGUAUCUAACCAGAAAGCCACGGCUAACUACGUGCCAGCAGCCGCGGUAAUUC